This 484-nucleotide ribosomal RNA is filed under the name uncultured bacterium. Its description in RNAcentral is "partial 16S ribosomal RNA". It matches the Rfam family "Bacterial small subunit ribosomal RNA", at positions 30 to 507 of the family's 1533-position model. The record is from RNAcentral.
AUUGAACGCUGGCGGCAGGCCUAACACAUGCAAGUCGAGCGGAUGAAGGGAGCUUGCUCCUGGAUUCAGCGGCGGACGGGUGAGUAAUGCCUAGGAAUCUGCCUGGUAGUGGGGGAUAACGUCCGGAAACGGGCGCUAAUACCGCAUACGUCCUGAGGGAGAAAGUGGGGGAUCUUCGGACCUCACGCUAUCAGAUGAGCCUAGGUCGGAUUAGCUAGUUGGUGGGGUAAAGGGCUACCAAGGCGACGAUCCGUAACUGGUCUGAGAGGAUGAUCAGUCACACUGGAACUGAGACACGGUCCAUACGCCUACGGGAGGCAGCAGUGGGGAAUAUUGGGCAAUGGGCGAAAGCCUGAUCCAGCCAGGCCGCGUGUGUGAAGAAGGUCUUCGGAUUGUAAAGCACUUUAAGUUGGGAGGAAGGGCAGUAAGUUAAUACCUUGCUGUUUUGACGUUACCAACAGAAUAAGCACCGGCUAACUUCGUG